CAUUAAUCAGUCAUUCGUAAUUAUAAAAUGAGAGAUUACUUCACAGUUUCAGUUAAGACUAGAGAUAUGUAUACAUAUCGAUAACUGGGUGUCGCAAGAUAGCAUAUAGAAAGUGUUUCAGUUAUAGGCAGUAUAAGUCCGCUGCUCCUGUGAUAAUUUAAUAUUGUAAGAGAUGUUUGGUUGGUUUAGUUUGAGAAGAAUGAUUCAUUGUGCGUUUCAUGCGGCUUUAUAUAUUUGCAUUGGCCUUCCAGCUGACAACUUUCCAACUGUGUUCUUCGGCUACCGUUGAUGUAUUGCACGGAUGGUCGUUGAUACAUUCGGACCGUUUGUUUAAACAGUGCCCUCGAGUCAAGACAAAGUGUAAUUGCAAUUGUUCUCUUAUGCAACUCUUAGCCAAUAGUUUGCAAGCUCCGACAUAAGGAAAAUACCGUCACUGUUUUCACAUCUUUGAGCUCAGGAUUUACACGGUAUCGAGCGACAACUUUUUCCGUAGACGUGUAAUGUCUUCGAGCUACGAAGCAAGGUGAAACGUGGUGCGAAACAUGAUCACGUCGAUCACUUCUAUUUAUAAUUACGUAAAUGACAUGUGGCGUCAGUAGUGAGCGUGCUCCUCCAACGAAUGAAUGAAAUUGUACUACUGGAUGUGCGUCGGGCCUAAUGCGAUCUCGCUGCGACAUACGAGUGGUGUUGUGCGAAUUCUAAUUGUGACAAAUGCGAUAAAAAAGAUAAACGAAUCAAGACUAAAAUUAAAAUUACAAUAAUAACCGGCACUGUUGUACGCUGUUGCGGCCAAUAUUCGUUCCACACUGACAAUGAUUUUCUCUGUCAACGGAAGUGACACCGUGCACGGUGAC
This is a long non-coding RNA of Hylaeus anthracinus, 854 nucleotides long. RefSeq lists it as uncharacterized. The transcript is spliced from 3 exons. Lineage: Eukaryota; Metazoa; Arthropoda; Insecta; Hymenoptera; Colletidae. The record is from RefSeq and is a predicted model, not a curated record.